Molecule: long non-coding RNA, 1279 nt
Filed under: Nicotiana tabacum (common tobacco)
Lineage: Eukaryota; Viridiplantae; Streptophyta; Magnoliopsida; Solanales; Solanaceae
Description: long non-coding RNA (NTAB_LNC013700)
Source: RNAcentral
AAAGAGAAAUAGGUGCCUCGGGGUCGGACAACCACCACUUGGCAUUUUGGCAUUGUCUCGUUAUUCGAUUCGACGUCGGAUUUCCUGUAGUUUGGUAUAAGUUUGCACCCUAAUCUUUUUCCUUUUUUUUAUUCAGAAUUUCUGUUUUGUUUUAUUUUAUUUUAUUUUAUUUAUCUCUGAGUAUAAGUUUUAGUUUUAAUUUUCUGUUUUUCAAUUAGUUUGUUAAGCCAUAAUCGUUAGUUUGAGUUUACUUUCAUUAGCAUUCUUCAAUGUUAGUCGUUGCUUAAUAUUUUCGAAUUAGGUACUUAGUCAUUUGUUUAGGUUGCUACUAAUCGUUUUCCGAUAGUGUAUAAAUAUUUAUUUAAGUUAUAUUUUAGGUAGCAUUUCUUAAUUCCAACCGUCUGUUGUUAUUUUCCAUAAAUCGAUUGGCUUUAGUUUAGUUUGUGUGAAUACCUAGUUUGGGUCCAUUUAAAGUUUCGUCUUUGUUUUGUCAAUUAUAGUUUGUUUGAGUUUGAAUUACAUAACUUGGUAUUAAUAUUUGUAAGAGCUGAAGUUUAUGUUAUUUUAUCACAAAAUAGGGUGCUAGUAGCCUACUUUUACUAGUACGGUGGCUGAAAUGACAUUUUUUCUCCUUGCUUCUGACAUAGCAGAUUUCCUUUCACCUUUUAGACAAAUUUUGAACAGUGUUUAGCACACAAUGUCAGUCCUUGUCGGGAAGACUUUUGGUGAAUCAAAAUCUGUCCAAAAAAGUAAUUUUCUUUGCCUACUUAAGGCCUGCCCUUUCCUCACUUUAGGGGGACUCAAUCAGAUAUUUGUUGGACAAAUUUUACACCCAAAAAAAAACAUUUUGAGAGUGAAAAAUCAGCAACUAAAGCACCCUUUAGUAAGCUGAAAUGGUGAGCUUUAUGAGUAAAUUUUAGAGUGCAAACUUUUAGAAAAAUAUAAGUCUUCUUUAGAGUUGAUUCUGGGUUUAUUCUCUAAGGUUUUCGAGUUGUUUUAAACACGAAACUGCUGUUGUUUUCUACUGUGCUUUUUUUCUUUGCGGAGCUCCAUUUUUCACUGCUAUAUUUAUUUUCUGCAAUUCAGGUAUUUCUCAAAUUUUGCAAUGCAGAUUUUUAUAUCCAAUGGAUGAGAAUAUGAGUCUCUUCCAGCUCAUAGGAUAUGCUCGAUGUGCUUUACUGGAAUGAAUGAAUAUUUAGCGUGUUACUUAUGUUUAAAGCAUGUACAUCUAUAAUAUUUGGUUAAUCUUCCAUUUUUCUUCACAUAUGUAGCUCAAACA